RNAcentral lists this ribosomal RNA (253 nucleotides) under uncultured bacterium. Its description in RNAcentral is "partial 16S ribosomal RNA". It matches the Rfam family "Bacterial small subunit ribosomal RNA", at positions 524 to 776 of the family's 1533-position model. The record is from RNAcentral.
UACAGAGGUCCCAAGCGUUGUUCGGAUUCACUGGGGGUAAAGGGUGCGUAGGCGGUCGGGUAAGUCUGAUGUGAAAUCUCACAGCUUAACUGUGAAACUGCAUUGGAUACUAUCCGGCUCGAGGAAUGGAGGGGAGACUGGAAUACUUGGUGUAGCAGUGAAAUGCGUAGAUAUCAAGUGGAACACCAGUGGCGAAGGCGAGUCUCUGGACAUUUCCUGACGCUGAGGCACGAAAGCUAGGGGAGCAAACAGG